This 432-nucleotide ribosomal RNA is filed under the name uncultured bacterium. RNAcentral describes it as "bacterial SSU rRNA". It matches the Rfam family "Bacterial small subunit ribosomal RNA", at positions 30 to 487 of the family's 1533-position model. The record is from RNAcentral.
CCUGAACGCUGGCGGCGUGGCUAAGACAUGCAAGUCGUACGGAUGUAGCAAUACAUCAGUGGCGAACGGGAGAGUAAUGAAUCGCUAAUGUGCCCCGGACUCUGGGAUAGCUAGCCGAAAGGUUAGGUAAUACCAGAUGAUAUACCUUUAUCGCAUGAUAGAGGUCUCAAAGGUCCGCCGGUCUGGGAGCAGGCGAUUUCGUAUCAGCUAGUUGGUGAGGUAACGGCUCACCAAGGCGACGACGCGUAGCCGGACUGAGAGGUUGGCCGGCCUCAUUGGGACUGAGACACGGCCCAGACUCCUACGGGAGGCAGCAGUGGGGAAUAUUGGACAAUGGGCGCAAGCCUGAUCCAGCAAUGCCGCGUGAGUGAGGAAGGCCUUAGGGUUGUAAAGCUCUUUCACCCGCGACGAUGAUGACGGUAGCGGGAGAAG